Molecule: ribosomal RNA, 1482 nt
Filed under: Nodularia spumigena CCY9414
Lineage: Bacteria; Bacillati; Cyanobacteriota; Cyanophyceae; Nostocales; Nodulariaceae
Description: bacterial SSU rRNA
Rfam family: Bacterial small subunit ribosomal RNA
Source: RNAcentral
AGAGUUUGAUCCUGGCUCAGGAUGAACGCUGGCGGUAUGCUUAACACAUGCAAGUCGAACGGUCUCUUCGGAGAUAGUGGCGGACGGGUGAGUAACGCGUGAGAAUCUGGCUUCAGGUCGGGGACAACCACGGGAAACUGUGGCUAAUACCGGAUAUGCCGAGAGGUGAAAGGCUUGCUGCCUGAAGAUGAGCUCGCGUCUGAUUAGCUAGUAGGUGUGGUAAAAGCGCACCUAGGCGACGAUCAGUAGCUGGUCUGAGAGGAUGAUCAGCCACACUGGGACUGAGACACGGCCCAGACUCCUACGGGAGGCAGCAGUGGGGAAUUUUCCGCAAUGGGCGAAAGCCUGACGGAGCAAUACCGCGUGAGGGAGGAAGGCUCUUGGGUUGUAAACCUCUUUUCUCAGGGAAGAAAAAAAUGACGGUACUUGAGGAAUAAGCAUCGGCUAACUCCGUGCCAGCAGCCGCGGUAAUACGGAGGAUGCAAGCGUUAUCCGGAAUGAUUGGGCGUAAAGGGUCCGCAGGUGGCUAUGUAAGUCUGCUGUUAAAGAACCUAGCUUAACUAGGUAAAAGCAGUGGAAACUACAAGGCUGGAGUGCGUUCGGGGUAGAGGGAAUUCCUGGUGUAGCGGUGAAAUGCGUAGAUAUCAGGAAGAACACCAGUGGCGAAGGCGCUCUACUAGGCCGCAACUGACACUGAGGGACGAAAGCUAGGGGAGCGAAUGGGAUUAGAUACCCCAGUAGUCCUAGCCGUAAACGAUGGAUACUAGGCGUGGCUUGUAUCGACCCAAGCCGUGCCGGAGCUAACGCGUUAAGUAUCCCGCCUGGGGAGUACGCACGCAAGUGUGAAACUCAAAGGAAUUGACGGGGGCCCGCACAAGCGGUGGAGUAUGUGGUUUAAUUCGAUGCAACGCGAAGAACCUUACCAAGACUUGACAUGUCGCGAAUCUCUCUGAAAGGAGAGAGUGCCUUCGGGAGCGCGAACACAGGUGGUGCAUGGCUGUCGUCAGCUCGUGUCGUGAGAUGUUGGGUUAAGUCCCGCAACGAGCGCAACCCUCGUUUUUAGUUGCCAGCAUUAAGUUGGGCACUCUAGAGAGACUGCCGGUGACAAACCGGAGGAAGGUGGGGAUGACGUCAAGUCAGCAUGCCCCUUACGUCUUGGGCUACACACGUACUACAAUGCUACGGACAAAGGGCAGCUACACAGCAAUGUGAUGCAAAUCUCACAAAACCGUAGCUCAGUUCAGAUCGCAGGCUGCAACUCGCCUGCGUGAAGUCGGAAUCGCUAGUAAUUGCAGGUCAGCAUACUGCAGUGAAUUCGUUCCCGGGCCUUGUACACACCGCCCGUCACACCAUGGAAGCUGGUCACGCCCGAAGUCGUUACCCCAACUGUUCGCAGAGGGGGAUGCCGAAGGCAGGACUGGUGACUGGGGUGAAGUCGUAACAAGGUAGCCGUACCGGAAGGUGUGGCUGGAUCACCUCCUU